CCAAUAGCGUAUAUUAAAGUUGUUGCAGUUAAAAAGCUCGUAGUUGAAUUUCGGGAUCAAGUCGUCGGUCGUGCCUCGGUACGCACUGGUGACAUUGGUUUCUCCCUUCUGAAGAACCUUGAUGUCAUUAAUUUGGUGUCUUGGGGAAUCAGGACUGUUACUUUGAAAAAAUUAGAGUGUUUAAAGCAGGCUCACGCUUGAAUACAUUAGCAUGGAAUAAUGAAAUAGGACGUUUGAUUCUAUUUUGUUGGUUUCUAGGAUCGACGUAAUGAUUAAUAGGGAUAGUUGGGGGCAUUAGUAUUCAAUUGUCAGAGGUGAAAGUCUUGGAUUUAUUGAAGACUAACUACUGCUAAAGCAUUUGCCAAGGAUGUUUUCAUUAAUCAAGAACGAAAGUUAGGGGAUCGAAGACGAUCAGAUACCGUCGUAGUCUUAACCAUAAACUAUGCCGACUAGGGAUCGGAUGAUGUUAAUUUUUUAAUGACUCAUUCGGCGCCUUACG
Molecule: unclassified non-coding RNA, 499 nt
Filed under: uncultured Glomus
Lineage: Eukaryota; Fungi; Glomeromycota; Glomeromycetes; Glomerales; Glomeraceae
Description: SSU rRNA
Rfam family: Eukaryotic small subunit ribosomal RNA
Source: RNAcentral